RNAcentral lists this ribosomal RNA (518 nucleotides) under Jujubinus tingitanus. RNAcentral's name for it is "partial 12S ribosomal RNA". The record is from RNAcentral. Lineage: Eukaryota; Metazoa; Mollusca; Gastropoda; Trochida; Trochidae.
AAAUAUUAUAUAUUAAAGGUUUAAUUUAUUGUAGAGAGGUGGAAUUCGUAUACAGUAUAUUAUGUUUGUACUUUUUAUAUUUGACGCUUCGAUAGCUAAGUAAGAAACCGGGAUUAGAUACCCCGUUAUUUUUUCUGUAAAUUUUGAUUAUUAAAUUAGUUUGCCUGAGUAUUACGGGUUGAUGAUUUUUGUGGGCUGUAAAUAUGGCACAUAAGCUAUUCAGAUACUUAAAACUCAAAAAACUUGGCGGUGCCUUAUUUCCUCCCAGGGGAACCUGUCCUGUAAUCGAUGAUCCACGAUUUAUCUUACUUUUUUUUGAAUUUCUAUUUUAGUUAAUCAGUUUGUAUACCGUCGUCGUCAGAUUACCUUUAAGAGUAAUAAAGUUGUCGGAUAAAUUAGAGAGCUAAUUUUAAGUUGUUAGUUUUAGUUUUUGAUGUCAGAUCAAGGUGCAGCUUAUAAAAAAGUAGAGAUGGGUUACAAUAUAGAUUUUAUAUUAUGAAUACUAACUUGUAAGAGUU